This 253-nucleotide ribosomal RNA is filed under the name uncultured bacterium. RNAcentral's name for it is "partial 16S ribosomal RNA". It matches the Rfam family "Bacterial small subunit ribosomal RNA", at positions 524 to 776 of the family's 1533-position model. The record is from RNAcentral.
UACGGAGGGGGCGAGCGUUGUUCGGAAUUACUGGGCGUAAAGGGCGCGUAGGCGGCCUUGUCAGUCAGGCGUGAAAGCCCCGGGCUCAACCUGGGAUGUGCGCUUGAUACUGCAAGGCUUGAGACCGGAAGAGGAUGGCGGAAUACCCAGUGUAGAGGUGAAAUUCGUAGAUAUUGGGUGGAACACCAGUGGCGAAGGCGGCCAUCUGGUCCGGAUCUGACGCUGAGGCGCGAAAGCGUGGGGAGCAAACAGG